AUGAACGCUGGCGGCGUGCCUAAUACAUGCAAGUCGCGCGAACAGACGAGGAGCUUGCUCCUCUGACGUUAGCGGCGGACGGGGUAGUAACACGUGGAUAACCUACCUAUAAGACUGGGAUAACUUCGGGAAACCGGAGCUAAUACCGGAUAAUAUAUUUAACCGCAUGGGUCAAUAGUGAAAGACGGUUUUGCUGUCACUUAUAGAUGGAUCCGCGCCGCAUUAGCUAGUUGGUAAGGUAACGGCUUACCAAGGCGACGAUGCGUAGCCGACCUGAGAGGGUGAUCGGCCACACUGGAACUGAGACACGGUCCAGACUCCUACGGGAGGCAGCAGUAGGGAAUCUUCCGCAAUGGGCGAAAGCCUGACGGAGCAACGCCGCGUGAGUGAUGAAGGUCUUCGGAUCGUAAAACUCUGUUAUUAGGGAAGAACAAAUGUGUAAGUAACUAUGCACGUCUUGACGGUACCUAAUCAGAAAGCCACGGCUAACUACGUG
RNAcentral lists this ribosomal RNA (496 nucleotides) under uncultured bacterium. RNAcentral's name for it is "partial 16S ribosomal RNA". It matches the Rfam family "Bacterial small subunit ribosomal RNA", at positions 29 to 507 of the family's 1533-position model. The record is from RNAcentral.